UCUCUUGGUGCUGAUUUUGCGGUCAAAGAUCUUGGGAAGCUUCACUACUUUCUUGGAGUUGAGGUCACUUCUCGUGCUACUGGUCUUGUCUUUACGCAGAAGAAGUACUCCUUGGAGUUGUUACAAAGAGCGGGCAUGCUGAAGUGCAAACCGACCACCACACCCAUGUCGUCUACUGACAAGAUAACAGCUGUUGAUGGUGAGCUUUUGUCUCCUGCGGAUGCCACAGAGUACAGGAGCAUUGUUGGUGGACUUCAGUACUUGACGAUCACGAGACCAGAUAUCUCUUAUGCUGUUAACAAG
This 303-nucleotide ribosomal RNA is filed under the name Triticum aestivum (bread wheat). Its description in RNAcentral is "partial small subunit ribosomal RNA". The record is from RNAcentral. Lineage: Eukaryota; Viridiplantae; Streptophyta; Magnoliopsida; Poales; Poaceae.